This 253-nucleotide ribosomal RNA is filed under the name uncultured bacterium. RNAcentral's name for it is "partial 16S ribosomal RNA". It matches the Rfam family "Bacterial small subunit ribosomal RNA", at positions 524 to 776 of the family's 1533-position model. The record is from RNAcentral.
UACGUAGGAGGCAAGCGUUAUCCGGAAUUACUGGGCGUAAAGGGCGUCUAGGCGGAGGCGCAAGCGGGGUGUGAAAGCUCUCGGCUUAACUGAGAGAGUGCGCUCCGAACUGCGCGACUAGAGGGCAGGCGACGGCGGUGGAAUACCCGGUGGAGUGGUGAAAUGCGUAGAGAUCGGGUGGAACACCAGUGGCGAAGGCGGCCGCCGAGCCUGUUGCUGACGCUGAAGCGCGAGAGCGUGGGGAGCAAACGGG